Molecule: ribosomal RNA, 253 nt
Filed under: uncultured bacterium
Lineage: Bacteria
Description: partial 16S ribosomal RNA
Rfam family: Bacterial small subunit ribosomal RNA
Source: RNAcentral
UACGGAAGGGGAAAGCGUUGCUCGGAAUCAUUGGGCGUAAAGGGCGCGUAGGUGGUUCUGUAUGUCUACCGUGAAAGCGUACGGCUCAACCGUAUUUUGUCGGUGGAAACUGCAGGACUUGAGGCUGGGAGGGGCUGGUGGAAUUCCCUGUGUAGCGGUGAAAUGCGUAGAGAUGGGGGAGAACAUCGGUGGCGAAGGCGCUCUGCUGGACCAUAACUGACACUCAGGGACGAAAGCUAGGGGAGCGAAUGGG